RNAcentral lists this ribosomal RNA (775 nucleotides) under uncultured bacterium. RNAcentral's name for it is "bacterial SSU rRNA". It matches the Rfam family "Bacterial small subunit ribosomal RNA", at positions 28 to 776 of the family's 1533-position model. The record is from RNAcentral.
AUUGAACGCUGGCGGCAGGCCUAACACAUGCAAGUCGAGCGGUAACAGAUUGAUAGCUUGCUAUUGAUGCUGACGAGCGGCGGACGGGUGAGUAAUGCCUGGGAAUAUACCUCAGUGUGGGGGAUAACUAUUGGAAACGAUAGCUAAUACCGCAUAAUCUCCGAUCUUUUACGAGAUGGGAGCAAAGCGGGGGACCUUCGGGCCUCGCGCGCUGAGAUUAGCCCAGGUGGGAUUAGCUAGUUGGUGGGGUAAUGGCUCACCAAGGCGACGAUCCCUAGCUGGUCUGAGAGGAUGAUCAGCCACACUGGAACUGAGACACGGUCCAGACUCCUACGGGAGGCAGCAGUGGGGAAUAUUGCACAAUGGGGGAAACCCUGAUGCAGCCAUGCCGCGUGUAUGAAGAAGGCCUUCGGGUUGUAAAGUACUUUCAGUUGUGAGGAAGGCAGUUAAGUUAAUAGCUUAGUUGUUUGACGUUAGCAACAGAAGAAGCACCGGCUAACUCCGUGCCAGCAGCCGCGGUAAUACGGAGGGUGCGAGCGUUAAUCGGAAUUACUGGGCGUAAAGCGCAUGCAGGCGGUCUGUUAAGCAAGAUGUGAAAGCCCGGGGCUCAACCUCGGAACAGCAUUUUGAACUGGCAGACUAGAGUCUUGUAGAGGGGGGUAGAAUUUCAGGUGUAGCGGUGAAAUGCGUAGAGAUCUGAAGGAAUACCGGUGGCGAAGGCGGCCCCCUGGACAAAGACUGACGCUCAGAUGCGAAAGCGUGGGGAGCAAACAGG